This 235-nucleotide ribosomal RNA is filed under the name uncultured microorganism. RNAcentral describes it as "partial 16S ribosomal RNA". It matches the Rfam family "Bacterial small subunit ribosomal RNA", at positions 9 to 240 of the family's 1533-position model. The record is from RNAcentral.
GAGUUUGAUCGUGGCUCAGAUUGAACGCUGGCGGCAUGCCUAACACAUGCAAGUCGAACGGCAGCACUGGGAGCUUGCUCCCUGGUGGCGAGUGGCGGACGGGUGAGUAACGCGUAGGAAUCUGCCUCAUAGCGGGGGACAACUCGGGGAAACUCGAGCUAAUACCGCAUACUACUCGAGAGAGGAAAGCAGGGGACCUUCGGGCCGUUGCACUAUGAGAUGAGCCUGCGUUGGA